UACGUAGGGUGCAAGCGUUUGUCCGGAAUUAUUGGGCGUAAAGAGCUCGUAGGCGGUCUGUCGCGUCUGCUGUGAAAUCUCAAGGCUCAACCUUGAGCUUGCAGUGGGUACGGGCAGACUAGAGUGUGGUAGGGGAGACUGGAAUUCCUGGUGUAGCGGUGAAAUGCGCAGAUAUCAGGAGGAACACCGAUGGCGAAGGCAGGUCUCUGGGCCACUACUGACGCUGAGAAGCGAAAGCAUGGGGAGCGAACAGG
Molecule: ribosomal RNA, 254 nt
Filed under: uncultured bacterium
Lineage: Bacteria
Description: partial 16S ribosomal RNA
Rfam family: Bacterial small subunit ribosomal RNA
Source: RNAcentral